This 90-nucleotide transfer RNA is filed under the name Patescibacteria group bacterium. RNAcentral's name for it is "tRNA-Ser". It matches the Rfam family "tRNA". From Rfam's summary of the family: Transfer RNA (tRNA) molecules are approximately 80 nucleotides in length. Their secondary structure includes four short double-helical elements and three loops (D, anti-codon, and T loops). The record is from RNAcentral.
GGAGGGUUCGCAUAGUGGUCUAGUGCGCGUCCCUGGAAAGGACGUAGGUCUUAACGGGCCUCGAGAGUUCAAAUCUCUCACCCUCCGCAA